RNAcentral lists this ribosomal RNA (493 nucleotides) under uncultured bacterium. RNAcentral describes it as "partial 16S ribosomal RNA". It matches the Rfam family "Bacterial small subunit ribosomal RNA", at positions 29 to 507 of the family's 1533-position model. The record is from RNAcentral.
ACGCACGCUGGCGGCGUGCUUAACACCUGCAAGUCGAACGGUGAAGCGCCUUCCUUUUUGGUGGGUGUGGAUGAGUGGCGAACGGGUGAGUAACACGUGAGUAACCUGCCCCCUUCUUCUGGAUAACCGCAUGAAAGUGUGGCUAAUACGGGAUAUUCUGGGUCUGUCGCAUGAUGGGUCUGGGAAAGAUAUUGUUUCGGUGGGGGAUGGGCUCGCGGCCUAUCAGCUUGUUGGUGGGGUGAUGGCCUACCAAGGCGGUGACGGGUAGCCGGCCUGAGAGGGUGGACGGUCACACUGGGACUGAGACACGGCCCAGACUCCUACGGGAGGCAGCAGUGGGGAAUAUUGCACAAUGGGCGCAAGCCUGAUGCAGCGACGCCGCGUGAGGGAUGGAGGCCUUCGGGUUGUGAACCUCUUUCGCCAGUGAAGCAGGCCUGCCUCGUUUGUGGGUGGGUUGACGGUAGCUGGAGAAGAAGCGCCGGCUAACUACGUG